UGGAUUUGAAUUAGAACGAUAGAGAUUAUUAACACCAAAAUAUUAUCAAAUCAAAUGCACUUAUCACUAAAUUCUGAUUCCAAUGAAUAAAACUCAGCUGACGGUUUUGUCAAACAAUGGUGGAGUUUAGAUAAAGAAGUUUUCUUGCCACUAUUGUAUCACGAAAUGUACAGCCACAAUACACCAACUGAAAUCACAAAACUGUUAAAAACGUAAAGAGAGAUAAGGAAAGAAUAUGAUACGCAGAGAUUUGGUAAGGAAGUUCCCC
This 268-nucleotide long non-coding RNA is filed under the name Lathyrus oleraceus (garden pea). RNAcentral's name for it is "Pisum sativum (pea) long non-coding RNA (PSAT_LNC020793)". Lineage: Eukaryota; Viridiplantae; Streptophyta; Magnoliopsida; Fabales; Fabaceae. The record is from RNAcentral.